ACUCCUCUGAGGUCAAGAUUUCAAGGCAUUCCAUUCUGGGUAUCCCACAGAUAGCAUUUUAUACAGCAAUGAUUCUGCAAACUACAAUAUGGUCCUUAAAUGAAUCUGCCAGUUUGAUAUUACUCUAUGAAAGAGGAAGAGAAGGGAGAGAAAAAGAAUGUUUAUAAUAAGAGGCGAUAAUCAUAUAAGACCAAAUGAUAUCAUGACAUCUGCAUGAAUGAAGGUGUGGCAUAGUUAAACUGGAGAAAAGUGACGAAGGAAUUAUAUCACCAUAGAGCACCCAUAUUCACCAUAAUCAUCAGGCAUGCUUAGAUCAGUAUUGACACACAAAUACUCAUGAAAACAUUCAUGUGUUGAGACUGGAUUUGGUUUCAGCAGAGCAAAAUCAUCUGUUGUAUUAAAUUAAGAUUGUAAAUUUGGAUAUUUUGUCAUAUUUUUAUUUGAUUUCUAUUUUUUUAUUUUGUAUUUACACAAAAGCUAUAAGCAUAUGGGAUUUUACAAUUAGUCUGAUGUUAACAUAUUUGAGUAAAAUUAUGCCACAAGUGAACUUAAUCUGUGCUAGGAAAUCUUUAAAAAUGAUCUAUAUGUUAUUCACGUAUGAGAAACACUGGCAUAUCCUAGUCAUAGGAUAUGUACUGAAUAAAUAUUAUUGAACUUA
Long non-coding RNA from Herpailurus yagouaroundi (jaguarundi), 658 nucleotides. RefSeq lists it as uncharacterized. The record is from RefSeq and is a predicted model, not a curated record. The transcript has 3 exons. Lineage: Eukaryota; Metazoa; Chordata; Mammalia; Carnivora; Felidae.